GGGAGUAUCAGAGCAGCAACACAAUAAGAAGGUUGAGGCGACCAUAAAGGAGUAUCAACUUGAAAUAUGAGAAUAAUCUUUAAGCUCAAUCACAAUUCAAGAUUUAGAAGCAUUUUGAAGAAGGUGGUGUUUCAACAUUGCUCUAAAAGACUUUCUCAUUGCAGAGCAAAUGUAAAGAGAAUAAGGACUCGUUCAAGAAGGUGAGCCGCAAAGUGAGACGAUCUCAAGAACUGCUAAUUAACGACUAAUCUUCACUUUCAAGAAUUGUGUUACUCGCAAGAUGAUCAUAAAACUCUGUUUUAAAUUUAUGCACCAUAUUUCUAGUCAUAUUACAAUACUACAAAUUUUUAGACAUCUCUUUCUAUCGAGAUGUAAAACAACAUAAUCC
Long non-coding RNA from Zingiber officinale, 388 nucleotides. RefSeq lists it as uncharacterized. NCBI's taxonomy places the organism in Eukaryota, Viridiplantae, Streptophyta, Magnoliopsida, Zingiberales, Zingiberaceae. The transcript is spliced from 3 exons. The record is from RefSeq and is a predicted model, not a curated record.